Long non-coding RNA from Cheilinus undulatus (humphead wrasse), 516 nucleotides. RefSeq lists it as uncharacterized. The transcript has 3 exons. Lineage: Eukaryota; Metazoa; Chordata; Actinopteri; Labriformes; Labridae. The record is from RefSeq and is a predicted model, not a curated record.
UUUAUGGGACAGGUUCAUAACCGCUUAAUCAACAGUUUCUCCUCUAAAAGUUACUCCUAUAGUGACUUGGCAAUCCGGUUAAAUACAAACGUUUGUGCUUAGCUAAUUACGGACCGCUUUGCUUUCAGUAUGAACUGGAUACCAUUGACAUGGAUGAUAUUAAGUGAUGACUUUCUCAGGCGGUAGCUACGAGGGAGCUAACUGCUACCAUGCCAGAGAUUGUUCCCCUGGUGAAGGCUGGAUGAGAGUUCGACAAAAAACAACACUGUCAGACUGAGUUUAAUCGAAACUCUCCAUCACAUGAUUCCAACAGUGGUUGCCGUAGUAGGGGACGGGAAUCCUGGGGGAUUGCAAACCACCAAAGUUCAUGGACACGUGCCAGACUGGGGGGAAUGUUGUUGCCAUGGAGACAGCUGAGGACUGCCGCUGCUGCUAGUGCGCCCUCUCCUGGAUCCUUCUGAGUAUCACACACUAAAUCCACCUUUGCCAUCUUUUCACAUAUAGAGCUCUCUAAAC